This 1401-nucleotide ribosomal RNA is filed under the name Enterobacter roggenkampii. RNAcentral's name for it is "partial 23S ribosomal RNA". It matches the Rfam family "Bacterial large subunit ribosomal RNA", at positions 1542 to 2916 of the family's 2925-position model. The record is from RNAcentral. Lineage: Bacteria; Pseudomonadati; Pseudomonadota; Gammaproteobacteria; Enterobacterales; Enterobacteriaceae.
CGGUCGUUUAUUAACGCUGAGGUGUGAUGACGAGGCACUACGGUGCUGAAGUAACAAAUGCCCUGCUUCCAGGAAAAGCCUCUAAGCAUCAGGUAACAUCAAAUCGUACCCCAAACCGACACAGGUGGUCAGGUAGAGAAUACCAAGGCGCUUGAGAGAACUCGGGUGAAGGAACUAGGCAAAAUGGUGCCGUAACUUCGGGAGAAGGCACGCUGAUAUGUAGGUGAAGCCCCUGCGGGUGGAGCUGAAAUCAGUCGAAGAUACCAGCUGGCUGCAACUGUUUAUUAAAAACACAGCACUGUGCAAACACGAAAGUGGACGUAUACGGUGUGACGCCUGCCCGGUGCCGGAAGGUUAAUUGAUGGGGUUAGCGGCAACGCGAAGCUCUUGAUCGAAGCCCCGGUAAACGGCGGCCGUAACUAUAACGGUCCUAAGGUAGCGAAAUUCCUUGUCGGGUAAGUUCCGACCUGCACGAAUGGCGUAAUGAUGGCCAGGCUGUCUCCACCCGAGACUCAGUGAAAUUGAACUCGCUGUGAAGAUGCAGUGUACCCGCGGCAAGACGGAAAGACCCCGUGAACCUUUACUAUAGCUUGACACUGAACACUGGUCCUUGAUGUGUAGGAUAGGUGGGAGGCUUUGAAGCGUGGACGCCAGUCUGCGUGGAGCCGUCCUUGAAAUACCACCCUUUAAUGGCUGGUGUUCUAACGUAGACCCGUAAUCCGGGUUGCGGACAGUGUCUGGUGGGUAGUUUGACUGGGGCGGUCUCCUCCCAAAGAGUAACGGAGGAGCACGAAGGUUAGCUAAUCCUGGUCGGACAUCAGGAGGUUAGUGCAAUGGCAUAAGCUAGCUUGACUGCGAGAGUGACGGCUCGAGCAGGUGCGAAAGCAGGUCAUAGUGAUCCGGUGGUUCUGAAUGGAAGGGCCAUCGCUCAACGGAUAAAAGGUACUCCGGGGAUAACAGGCUGAUACCGCCCAAGAGUUCAUAUCGACGGCGGUGUUUGGCACCUCGAUGUCGGCUCAUCACAUCCUGGGGCUGAAGUAGGUCCCAAGGGUAUGGCUGUUCGCCAUUUAAAGUGGUACGCGAGCUGGGUUUAGAACGUCGUGAGACAGUUCGGUCCCUAUCUGCCGUGGGCGCUGGAGAAUUGAGGGGGGCUGCUCCUAGUACGAGAGGACCGGAGUGGACGCAUCACUGGUGUUCGGGUUGUCAUGCCAAUGGCACUGCCCGGUAGCUAAAUGCGGAAAAGAUAAGUGCUGAAAGCAUCUAAGCACGAAACUUGCCCCGAGAUGAGUUCUCCCUGAGACUUUAAGUCUCCUGAAGGAACGUUGAAGACGACGACGUUGAUAGGUCGGGUGUGUAAGCGCAGCGAUGCGUUGAGCUAACCGAUACUAAUGAACCGUGAGG